Molecule: ribosomal RNA, 252 nt
Filed under: uncultured bacterium
Lineage: Bacteria
Description: partial 16S ribosomal RNA
Rfam family: Bacterial small subunit ribosomal RNA
Source: RNAcentral
UACAGAGGUCCCAAGCGUUGUUCGGAUUUACUGGGCGUAAAGGGUGCGUAGGUGGCGGGGUAAGUCUGGUGUGAAAGCUCCGAGCUCAACUCGGAAAAGCAUUGGAAACUAUCCCGCUUGAGGGUCGGAGGGGAGACUGGAAUUCUCGGUGUAGCAGUGAAAUGCGUAGAUAUCGAGAGGAACACCAGUGGCGGAGGCGAGUCUCUGGACGACUCCUGACACUGAGGCACGAAAGCUAGGGGAGCAAACAGG